Molecule: long non-coding RNA, 817 nt
Filed under: Astyanax mexicanus (Mexican tetra)
Lineage: Eukaryota; Metazoa; Chordata; Actinopteri; Characiformes; Acestrorhamphidae
Description: lncRNA (ENSAMXG00005023084.1)
Source: RNAcentral
GCUGUUACAUUGUAGAAAUACUUUAGUUUUAUGUGAGAUAAUAAAUGCUGUGCUGUUAUUGGCUGUCAGAGGGAAGAGGAGGAGGCUCGACAGAGGCUGAUAGAAGAGCAGCAGAGGCUGGAGAGAGAGCAACGCUUCCAGAGAGAGGAGUCUGAGCGGCUGGAGAGGAAGAAGGUAUGACAGCCGAGAGCGUGAAUCAGUGCCUGCUGCUGAAUGUAGGUCAGCCGUGCUGAGCACCGAGAGAGAUCUCACAGUCUGGAGAAUUAAAACCAGUAAAAGGGAGAUUUCAGAAUUUUUUAAUAGACUGUAUAGGCAUUUUUCAUUUUUAUUUUUGUAUUAUUAUAUGCAGUUUUAUUGAUGAUAUUGUAUUGUUUUUUUAAAUUAUUCUUUUAUCUCCACAGCGACUAGACGAAAUUAUGAAAAGAACACGAAAAACAGAUGCAACUGAGAAGAAACCUGCUUCCUCCAGUAUCAUAAUGAAAGACAGUCUUCCGAAUGAGAAUAUAAAGCCUAUUCACAGUCUGCCGUUAGAAGACGUUAUCAAGCUGCCCAGUCCAUCAAAGGCCUCUAAGAUAGCUCUGGAGAAUGAGGAGGACAUCCUUCCUGCAGUGGCCUUUAAAGAGCGCAGGUCCCUCCGUACUCUCACCGGCCUGGAUGAGAUCCAGGCUCAUCAGAGAGCAGGUCAGAGAUCCUUCCCUACAGACCGUAUUUAGAAAUGAUCUCCCACAGCAUGCUUUCAGUGAUGUGCUGCUGGAUUAUUGACCUCAUUAAAGCAACCACAAAUUCUGUGUUUCUUACAUUUAUCGUGACUUUAAAU